RNAcentral lists this signal recognition particle RNA (265 nucleotides) under Candidatus Dormiibacterota bacterium. RNAcentral describes it as "signal recognition particle sRNA large type". It matches the Rfam family "Bacterial large signal recognition particle RNA". From Rfam's summary of the family: The signal recognition particle (SRP) is a universally conserved ribonucleoprotein involved in the co-translational targeting of proteins to membranes. Archaeal SRP consists of a 7S RNA and homologues of the eukaryotic SRP19 and SRP54 proteins. In most bacteria, the SRP consists of a 4.5S RNA and the Ffh protein (a homologue of the eukaryotic SRP54 protein). The record is from RNAcentral. RNAcentral also lists the same sequence under 1 other name. Lineage: Bacteria; Bacillati; Candidatus Dormiibacterota.
UCGCGCUAGACGGGGAGUUAGCGGUGCCCUGCACCCGCAAUCCGCUACAGCGGGGUCGAAUUCCCCUCCUAGGGGGGGCGUCAUCGGGUCAGCUCCGACCACUCGGGUGUCGACGGCCGGGUCCGGCGCAGCCAAUCACCGCCAACCCCGUCAGGUCCGGAAGGAAGCAGCGGUACGCGGAGCGACUGGAGUGCCGUCGGGCUCCCCGGCCUGAGCUCAGGUGUCGACCGGCGCCGGGGGUGUCUCAACGAAGAGGGGUGCGCGA